UUUAAAUGCAACCAUAAGUUUCUGCACCUAACUUUGAUCGUCCGUCUUAUUUGAAAAAUUUUUAUAAUUAGUAUUUUUGUUGUUAUGAGAUGAUAAAACAUAAAGUGACUUAUGUUUUUAAUUUUUUUAAAUAAGACGGACGGUCAAAGUUGGUCGUGGAAAACCAUAACUGCACUGAAA
Non-coding RNA from Oryza barthii, 180 nucleotides. The record is from Rfam. Lineage: Eukaryota; Viridiplantae; Streptophyta; Magnoliopsida; Poales; Poaceae.